GAUGAACGCUAGCGAUAGGCCUAACACAUGCAAGUCGAGGGGCAUCACGGAGUAGCAAUACUUUGGUGGCGACCGGCGCACGGGUGAGUAACGCGUAUGCAAUCUACCUACAACAGGGGGAUAACCCGGAGAAAUCCGGACUAAUACCGCAUAACACAGGGGUCCCGCAUGGGAAUAUUUGUUAAAGAUUUAUCGGUUGUAGAUGAGCAUGCGUUCCAUUAGGUAGUUGGUGAGGUAACGGCCAACCAAGCCUGCGAUGGAUAGGGGAACUGAGAGGUUUGUCCCCACACUGGAACUGAGACACGGACCAGGCUCCAACGGGAGGAAGCAGUGAGGAAUAUUGGUCAAUGGGCGAGAGUCUGAACCAGCCAAAUCGCGUGAAGGAAGACUGCCUUAUGGGUUGUAAACUUCUUUUGUACAGGAAUAAAAAGAGGGACGUGUCCUUCAUUGCAUGUACUGUACGAAUAAGCAUCGGCUAACUCCGUGCCAGCAGCCGCCGUAA
This 502-nucleotide ribosomal RNA is filed under the name uncultured bacterium. RNAcentral's name for it is "partial 16S ribosomal RNA". It matches the Rfam family "Bacterial small subunit ribosomal RNA", at positions 28 to 523 of the family's 1533-position model. The record is from RNAcentral.